GUCGUGGGGGAGUAACGUAGAGAAAUUUAACGCUAAUACCGCAUGAGAUCCACGGAUGAAAGCGGGGGACGUUCGCAAGGAGCCUCGCGCGACUGGAGCGGCUGAUAUCAGAUUAGGUUGUUGGUGAGGUAAAAGCUCACCAAGCCGACGAUCUGUAGCUGGUUUGAGAGAACGACCAGCCACGCUGGGACUGAGACACGGCCCAG
RNAcentral lists this ribosomal RNA (206 nucleotides) under uncultured bacterium. RNAcentral's name for it is "partial 16S ribosomal RNA". It matches the Rfam family "Bacterial small subunit ribosomal RNA", at positions 133 to 334 of the family's 1533-position model. The record is from RNAcentral.